UAGUAUUAGUUAUGUUCUUGAAAAUUAAAAGAGUUGGCGGUAUUUUAGUCUAUUCAGAGGAACCUGUCCUAUAAUCGAUGGUCCACGAUCUUUUGUACUUAAUUUCUAUAAGUUUGCAUAUCGCCGUAGAUUGAAUAUUCUUUAAAGAUUAAAAUAUUCAAGAUUUUUUCUAAGGAAGGAAUUCAGGUCAAGAUGUAGCUGAUAGUUAAGAAGAGAUGGGUUACAAUAAGUAUACUUAUAACGGAUUAUUAGAUGAAAUUUUUUAUGAAGGCGGAUUUGAGGGUAAU
This 287-nucleotide ribosomal RNA is filed under the name Levoecus sp. 2 EMC-2007. RNAcentral's name for it is "partial 12S ribosomal RNA". The record is from RNAcentral. Lineage: Eukaryota; Metazoa; Arthropoda; Insecta; Coleoptera; Curculionidae.